UUUAUAGCUCAAUUGGAUAGAGCGUUAGGUUUCGGUUCUAACGGUUGUAGGUUCGAGUCCU
Molecule: transfer RNA, 61 nt
Filed under: Triparma pacifica
Lineage: Eukaryota; Bolidophyceae; Parmales; Triparmaceae
Rfam family: tRNA
About the family: Transfer RNA (tRNA) molecules are approximately 80 nucleotides in length. Their secondary structure includes four short double-helical elements and three loops (D, anti-codon, and T loops). Further hydrogen bonds mediate the characteristic L-shaped molecular structure. tRNAs have two regions of fundamental functional importance: the anti-codon, which is responsible for specific mRNA codon recognition, and the 3' end, to which the tRNAs corresponding amino acid is attached (by aminoacyl-tRNA synthetases). tRNAs cope with the degeneracy of the genetic code in two manners: having more than one tRNA (with a specific anti-codon) for a particular amino acid; and 'wobble' base-pairing, i.e. permitting non-standard base-pairing at the 3rd anti-codon position.
Source: RNAcentral